GAUGAAGAACGCAGCGAAAUGCGAUAAGUAGUGUGAAUUGCAGAAUUCAGUGAAUCAUCGAAUCUUUGAACGCACAUUGCGCCCGCUAGUAUUCUGGCGGGCAUGCCUGUCCGAGCGUCAUUUCAACCCUCAAGCCCCUGGGCUUGGUGUUGGGGAUCGGCGAGCCUCCGCGCCCGCCGUCCCCUAAAUCUAGUGGCGGUCUCGCUGUAGCUUCCUCUGCGUAGUAGCACACCUCGCACUGGGAAACAGCGCGGCCACGCCGUUAAACCCCCAACUUCUGAACGUUUGACCUCGGAUCAGGUAGGAAUACCCGCUGAACUUAAGCAUAUCAAUAAGCGGAGGA
RNAcentral lists this unclassified non-coding RNA (343 nucleotides) under soil metagenome. RNAcentral describes it as "partial contains 5.8S ribosomal RNA, internal transcribed spacer 2, and large subunit ribosomal RNA". The stretch from base 1 to 120 matches the Rfam family "5.8S ribosomal RNA", at positions 35 to 154 of the family's 154-position model. The record is from RNAcentral.